Small nucleolar RNA from Pteronotus mesoamericanus, 131 nucleotides. RefSeq annotates it as small nucleolar RNA SNORA26. The transcript has a single exon. The record is from RefSeq and is a predicted model, not a curated record. NCBI's taxonomy places the organism in Eukaryota, Metazoa, Chordata, Mammalia, Chiroptera, Mormoopidae.
GUGCCCUUUUAAGGUUGACACAGUGCUAACACAGAAGGUGAAGAGGCUAACACAGAAGGGUAAAGUCUCUGUAAAACUCAGAAAAUAGAUUGUGUAAAACUCCUCUUUGGAUUAUUUCUGGAGCCACUGCU